GCGUAGCUCAGUGGAUAGAGCAAUGGGUUUCUAACCCAUGUGUCGAAGGUUCGAAUCCUUCCGC
This 64-nucleotide transfer RNA is filed under the name marine eukaryotic metagenome. It matches the Rfam family "tRNA", at positions 5 to 66 of the family's 71-position model. Rfam says of the family: Transfer RNA (tRNA) molecules are approximately 80 nucleotides in length. The record is from RNAcentral.